GUGGGGAAUAUUGGACAAUGGGCGCAAGCCUGAUCCAGCAAUGCCGCGUGGGUGAAGAAGGUCUUCGGAUCGUAAAGCCCUUUCGACAGGGACGAUGAUGACGGUACCUGUAGAAGAAGCCCCGGCUAACUUCGUGCCAGCAGCCGCGGUAAUACGAAUGGGGGCUAGCGUUACUCGGAAUUACUGGGCGUAAAGGGCGCGUAGGCGGCUCUGUUAGUCAGGCGUGAAAUUCCUGGGCUUAACCUGGGGACUGCGCUUGAUACUGCAGGGCUUGAGGCCGAGAGAGGGUGGUGGAAUUCCCAGUGUAGAGGUGAAAUUCGUAGAUAUUGGGAAGAACACCGGUGGCGAAGGCGACCACCUGGCUCGGUUCUGACGCUGAGGCGCGACAGCGUGGGGAGCAAACAGGAUUAGAAACCCUGGUAGUCC
RNAcentral lists this ribosomal RNA (426 nucleotides) under uncultured bacterium. Its description in RNAcentral is "partial 16S ribosomal RNA". It matches the Rfam family "Bacterial small subunit ribosomal RNA", at positions 354 to 796 of the family's 1533-position model. The record is from RNAcentral.